This 533-nucleotide ribosomal RNA is filed under the name Scarus quoyi (Quoy's parrotfish). RNAcentral describes it as "partial large subunit ribosomal RNA". It matches the Rfam family "Bacterial large subunit ribosomal RNA", at positions 1912 to 2595 of the family's 2925-position model. Lineage: Eukaryota; Metazoa; Chordata; Actinopteri; Labriformes; Labridae. The record is from RNAcentral.
GUGACUAUAUGUUUAACGGCCGCGGUAUUUUGACCGUGCGAAGGUAGCGCAAUCACUUGUCUUUUAAAUGGAGACCUGUAUGAAUGGCACGACGAGGGCUUAACUGUCUCCUUCCCCAAGUCAAUGAAAUUGAUCUCUCCGUGCAGAAGCGGGGAUAGACCCAUAAGACGAGAAGACCCUAUGGAGCUUUAGACACUAAAACAGCCCAUGUUAAAAACCCUCACAAAAGAGGCUAAACUAGAUGGUCCCUGUCCUAAUGUCUUUGGUUGGGGCGACCACGGGGUAACAAAAAACCCCCGCGCGGAACAGAAACACUGUUUCCAGAACCAAGAGCACCCGCUCUAAGUAACAAGACCCACUUGACCUUUGAGAUCCGGCAUUAGCCGAUCAACGGACCGAGUUACCCUAGGGAUAACAGCGCAAUCUUCUUCGAGAGUUCAUAUCGACGAGAAGGUUUACGACCUCGAUGUUGGAUCAGGACAUCCUAAUGGUGCAGCCGCUAUUAAGGGUUCGUUUGUUCAACGAUUAAAGUC